GCUUAAUUUUGAAUUUUGUUUCGAUUUAGUUGUCUAUGUCAGUUAACAACAAUCGAAUCUGAUGAAUUGACCAAAAAUGCAAAGAAUUUGCAGAAUUUUAUCAUGAAGACAUUAAUGUAGAUGUGCCCAAAACAGAAUGUAUUCAUUUAAGCCAAUAUUUAAAAAACAUAGCAAAGCAAUCAGCGGAUUUAAAUAUCUCAACCUUACAUAACCUAAAAAUUUCAAAUAAAUUGGAAGAAACUUUUCCAAACGUAGAAAUUGCUACAAGAAUAUUCCUUUGCCUAAUGGUUACCGAUUGUAGUGGAGAGCGGUCAUUUUCGCACCUCAAGAGAAUAA
This is a long non-coding RNA of Melitaea cinxia (Glanville fritillary), 336 nucleotides long. RefSeq lists it as uncharacterized. The record is from RefSeq and is a predicted model, not a curated record. NCBI's taxonomy places the organism in Eukaryota, Metazoa, Arthropoda, Insecta, Lepidoptera, Nymphalidae. The transcript has 3 exons.